GGGGAAUAUUGGACAAUGGGCGCAAGCCUGAUCCAGCCAUGCCGCGUGAGUGAUGAAGGUCUUAGGAUUGUAAAGCUCUUUCACCGGAGAAGAUAAUGACGGUAUCCGGAGAAGAAGCCCCGGCUAACUUCGUGCCAGCAGCCGCGGUAAUACGAAGGGGGCUAGCGUUGUUCGGAAUUACUGGGCGUAAAGCGCACGUAGGCGGAUAUUUAAGUCAGGGGUGAAAUCCCAGAGCUCAACUCUGGAACUGCCUUUGAUACUGGGUAUCUAGAGUAUGGAAGAGGUGAGUGGAAUUCCGAGUGUAGAGGUGAAAUUCGUAGAUAUUCGGAGGAACACCAGUGGCGAAGGCGGCUCACUGGUCCAUUACUGACGCUGAGGUGCGAAAGCGUGGGGAGCAAAC
This 400-nucleotide ribosomal RNA is filed under the name uncultured bacterium. RNAcentral describes it as "bacterial SSU rRNA". It matches the Rfam family "Bacterial small subunit ribosomal RNA", at positions 356 to 773 of the family's 1533-position model. The record is from RNAcentral.